CAGACGACUGUGAAGAAAGGAAUCAUCUCGUACCUAGAUUUGGCGUUCGCACUUGGAGAUUCAUGACAGGCCGCCGUACAGCAUAGAAGACUGUUCACAAGGCUGAUGGUGGCAUUACCUGCGUUCGAAUCACCUCAAGAUAGAAUUGAAAGAAAAUGGAGCAGUGAUGACAUCUUGCACUACACAGAUUUAUGUCCAAUCAGAUGCUCUCUUGAAGGAGAAUGUCCUGCCCCCUUAUGCCGCAUACAACUGACUAAUUAAAUAACACCAGACGAGUUUGAAAUGCUAUGCAGCUGGCCCAUCCCAAGAGUGGUGUGCAUUGUGCCGGGCUGAAGAAAUCUCAUCACUGUAUUGAUACAUCACAAAAGCCAAGCGCAAUCAUUGUCUGUGAAAGAUCCUCUGAGACCAAUUUAGACCCCGAAGACUUUGACCAUAACAUUUAAAUCAGCAAAACGGACUAAUUUAGUGUUGGCUAUGAUAGUUCUGAAUACAAUUAUUGUAUCCUCAACAU
Sinocyclocheilus anshuiensis is the source of this 511-nucleotide long non-coding RNA. RefSeq lists it as uncharacterized. The transcript is spliced from 5 exons. The record is from RefSeq and is a predicted model, not a curated record. NCBI's taxonomy places the organism in Eukaryota, Metazoa, Chordata, Actinopteri, Cypriniformes, Cyprinidae.